This 492-nucleotide ribosomal RNA is filed under the name uncultured bacterium. RNAcentral describes it as "partial 16S ribosomal RNA". It matches the Rfam family "Bacterial small subunit ribosomal RNA", at positions 29 to 507 of the family's 1533-position model. The record is from RNAcentral.
AGUGAACGCUGGCGGUAGGCCUAACACAUGCAAGUCGAACGGCAGCACAGUAAGAGCUUGCUCUUACGGGUGGCGAGUGGCGGACGGGUGAGGAAUACAUCGGAAUCUACUUUUUCGUGGGGGAUAACGUAGGGAAACUUACGCUAAUACCGCAUACGACCUACGGGUGAAAGCAGGGGAUCUUCGGACCUUGCGCGAUUGAAUGAGCCGAUGUCGGAUUAGCUAGUUGGCGGGGUAAAGGCCCACCAAGGCGACGAUCCGUAGCUGGUCUGAGAGGAUGAUCAGCCACACUGGAACUGAGACACGGUCCAGACUCCUACGGGAGGCAGCAGUGGGGAAUAUUGGACAAUGGGGGCAAGCCUGAUCCAGCCAUACCGCGUGGGUGAAGAAGGCCUUCGGGUUGUAAAGCCCUUUUGUUGGGAAAGAAAAGAAGCAGGUUAAUACCCCGCUGUUCUGACGGUACCCAAAGAAUAAGCACCGGCUAACUUCGUG